GAUGAAGAACGUAGCGAAAUGCGAUAAGUAAUGUGAAUUGCAGAAUUCAGUGAAUCAUCGAAUCUUUGAACGCACAUUGCGCCCCCUGGUAUUCCGGGGGGCAUGCCUGUCCGAGCGUCAUUACAACCCUCAAGCACAGCUUGGUGUUGGGCCCCGCCGCCCCGGCGGGCCCUAAAGUCAGUGGCGGUGCCGUCCGGCUCCGAGCGUAGUAAUUCUUCUCGCUCUGGAGGUCCGGUCGUGUGCUCGCCAGCAACCCCCAAUUUUUUUCAGGUUGACCUCGGAUCAGGUAGGGAUACCCGCUGAACUUAAGCAUAUCGAUAAGCGGAGGA
This 329-nucleotide unclassified non-coding RNA is filed under the name soil metagenome. RNAcentral's name for it is "partial contains 5.8S ribosomal RNA, internal transcribed spacer 2, and large subunit ribosomal RNA". The stretch from base 1 to 120 matches the Rfam family "5.8S ribosomal RNA", at positions 35 to 154 of the family's 154-position model. The record is from RNAcentral.